AACGAACGCUGGCGGCAUGCCUAACACAUGCAAGUCGAACGAGACCUUCGGGUCUAGUGGCGCACGGGUGCGUAACGAGUGGGAACCUGCACUUAGGUUCGGAAUAACUCCCCGAAAGGGGUGCUAAUACCGGAUAAUGUCUUAGGACCAAAGAUUUAUCGCCUUUGGAUGGGCCCGCGUUGGAUUAGCUAGUUGGUAGGGUAAAAGCCUACCAAGGCGACGAUCCAUAGCUGGUCUGAGAGGAUGAUCAGCCACACUGGGACUGAGACACGGCCCAGACUCCUACGGAAGGCAGCAGUGGGGAAUAUUGGACAAUGGGCGAAAGCCUGAUCCAGCAGUGCCGCGUGAGUGAUGAAGGCCUUAGGGUUGUAAAGCUCUUUUACCCGGGAUGAUAAUGACAGUACCGGGAGAAUAAGCUCCGGCUAACUCCGUG
This 433-nucleotide ribosomal RNA is filed under the name uncultured bacterium. RNAcentral's name for it is "partial 16S ribosomal RNA". It matches the Rfam family "Bacterial small subunit ribosomal RNA", at positions 29 to 507 of the family's 1533-position model. The record is from RNAcentral.